RNAcentral lists this ribosomal RNA (119 nucleotides) under Scophthalmus maximus (turbot). The record is from RNAcentral. Lineage: Eukaryota; Metazoa; Chordata; Actinopteri; Pleuronectiformes; Scophthalmidae.
GCUUACGGCCAUACCAGCCUGAAUACGCCCGAUCUCGUCUGAUCUCGGAAGCUAAGCAGGGCCGGGCCUGGUUAGUACUUGGAUGGGAGACCGCCUGGGAAUACCAGGUGCUGUAAGCA